UCCAGCUUAUCGCUGGCAGUUUCCUUAUAGUCCCCGACUUAACUCGCUGGUAAAUAAGGAUAAGGGUUGCGCUCGUUGCGGGACUUAACCCAACAUCUCACGACACGAGCUGACGACAGCCAUGCAACACCUGUGUGUGAUCCGGCCGAACCGACAGAACCAUCUCUGGUUCCUUUAAUCACCAUGUCAAGGGUUGGUAAGGUUUUUCGCGUAGCAUCGAAUUAAACCGCAUGCUCCACCGCUUGUGCGGGCCCCCGUCAAUUCCUUUGAGUUUCAACCUUGCGGUCGUACUCCCCAGGCGGGGUACUUCCUGCGUUAGCGCCGGCACCCAGAGGGUCGCUCCCCCAGGCACCUAGUACCCAUCGUUUACGGCGUGGACUAC
Molecule: unclassified non-coding RNA, 382 nt
Filed under: uncultured bacterium
Lineage: Bacteria
Description: contains 16S-23S intergenic spacer region
Source: RNAcentral